AACGAACGCUGGCGGCGUGUUUAAGACAUGCAAGUCGCACGGGAUAAGACAUGUAGUAAUACUUGUUUUAUUUAGUGGCGCAUGGGUGAGUAACACGUGAAUUACAUGCCCUAUAGUGGGGAAUAGCCCAGGGAAACUUGGAUUAAUACCCCAUGGUAUCGAAAGAUUAAAGGUGGCCGCAAGGCUGUCGCUAUAGGCUUGGUUCGCGCCCUAUCAGCUUGUUGGUGAGGUAACGGCUCACCAAGGCAAUGACGGGUACCUGGUCUGAGAGGACGAUCAGGCACACUGGAACUGAGACACGGUCCAGACACCUACGGGUGGCAGCAGUCGAGAAUAAUUCACAAUGGGGGCAACCCUGAUGGUGCAACGCCGCGUGGAGGAUGACGGUCUUCGGAUUGUAAACUCCUGUCAUCUGGGAGAAAGACCUGACGGUAAAUAGCCGGCAGGGUUGAUAGUACCAGAAGAGGAAGGGACGGCUAACUUCGUGCCAGCAGCCGCCGCCG
Molecule: ribosomal RNA, 503 nt
Filed under: uncultured bacterium
Lineage: Bacteria
Description: partial 16S ribosomal RNA
Rfam family: Bacterial small subunit ribosomal RNA
Source: RNAcentral